This is a non-coding RNA of Podarcis lilfordi (Lilford's wall lizard), 86 nucleotides long. NCBI's taxonomy places the organism in Eukaryota, Metazoa, Chordata, Lepidosauria, Squamata, Lacertidae. The record is from the annotation of a GenBank genome assembly.
AGAGAAAUGAAGUGGGUGGACAGAGCAGAGGAAGGUUGUACCUGAGUACAACCUUCCUCUGCUCUGCCCACCUACUUCAUUUCACA